Molecule: ribosomal RNA, 406 nt
Filed under: uncultured bacterium
Lineage: Bacteria
Description: partial 16S ribosomal RNA
Rfam family: Bacterial small subunit ribosomal RNA
Source: RNAcentral
AUUGAACGCUGGUGGCAGGCCUAACACAUGCAAGUCGAACGAGUGGCGGACGGGUGAGUAAUGUCUGGGAAACUGCCUGAUGGAGGGGGAUAACUACUGGAAACGGUAGCUAAUACCGCAUACCAUCGGAUGUGCCCAGAUGGGAUUAGCUAGUAGGUGGGGUAAAGGCUCACCUAGGCGACGAUCCCUAGCUGGUCUGAGAGGAUGACAAGGCACACUGGAACUGAGACACGGUCCAGACUCCGACGGGAUGCAGCAGUGGGGAAUAUUGCACAAUGGGCGCAAGCCUGAUGCAGCCAUGCCGCGUGUAGGAAGAAGGCCUUCGGGUUGUAAAGUACUUUCAGCGGGGAGGCGUUACCCGCAGAAGAAGCACCGGCUAACUCCGUGCCAGCCGCCGCGGUAAUAC